RNAcentral lists this small nuclear RNA (191 nucleotides) under Jaculus jaculus (lesser Egyptian jerboa). RNAcentral describes it as "U2 spliceosomal RNA (ENSJJAG00000003918.1)". It matches the Rfam family "U2 spliceosomal RNA". Rfam says of the family: U2 is a small nuclear RNA (snRNA) component of the spliceosome (involved in pre-mRNA splicing). Complementary binding between U2 snRNA (in an area lying towards the 5' end but 3' to hairpin I) and the branchpoint sequence (BPS) of the intron results the bulging out of an unpaired adenosine, on the BPS, which initiates a nucleophilic attack at the intronic 5' splice site, thus starting the first of two transesterification reactions that mediate splicing. Lineage: Eukaryota; Metazoa; Chordata; Mammalia; Rodentia; Dipodidae. The record is from Rfam by way of RNAcentral.
AUCACUUCUCGGCCUUUUGGCUAAGAUCAAGUGUAGUAUCUGUUCUUAUCAGUUUAAUAUCUGAUACGUCCUCUAUCCAAGGACAAUAUAUUAAAUGGAUUUUUGGAGCUUGGAGUUGGAAUAGGAGCUUGCUCUGUCCACUCCACAUGUCAACCUAGCAUUGUAGUACUUCUAGGAACGGUGCAUCCCCU